RNAcentral lists this ribosomal RNA (292 nucleotides) under uncultured bacterium. RNAcentral's name for it is "partial 16S ribosomal RNA". The record is from RNAcentral.
GGACUACUAGGGUUUCUAAUCCUGUUUGAUCCCCACGCUUUCGGGUCUGAGUGUCAGUGUCUGGCCAGUUACCCGCCUUCGCCUCCGGUGUUCCACCUGAUAUCUACGUAUUUCACCACUACACCAGGUAUUCCAGUAACCUCUCCAGCACUCAAGCUUCGCAGUAUCAAAUGCACUUCCUGGGUUGAGCCCAGGGCUUUCACACCUGACUUACAAAGCCACCUACACCCGCUUUACGCCCAAUGAUUCCGAACAACGCUAGGGUCCCUCGUCUUACCGCGGCUGCUGGCAC